Phrynosoma platyrhinos (Desert horned lizard) is the source of this 72-nucleotide non-coding RNA. Lineage: Eukaryota; Metazoa; Chordata; Lepidosauria; Squamata; Phrynosomatidae. The record is from the annotation of a GenBank genome assembly.
GCCAGCAUAGUGUAGUGGUUUGAGCAUUGGGCUAUUAUCCUGGAGACCUGGGUUUGAAUCCCAGCUCAGCCA